Xenopus tropicalis (tropical clawed frog) is the source of this 548-nucleotide long non-coding RNA. RefSeq lists it as uncharacterized. The transcript is spliced from 2 exons. The record is from RefSeq and is a predicted model, not a curated record. NCBI's taxonomy places the organism in Eukaryota, Metazoa, Chordata, Amphibia, Anura, Pipidae.
UAGGCUUAUACUCGAGUAUAUACAGUAAUUGCUUUUCACACUUGGAUUUUUUCCCAGUCCUAAUAUAUACAGCCUUCUCCAAUAAUGAUUGUGCGUGUGUCUUAUUAGAUCUCAAGUACUCAAGUGCCUUACAGGAGUCCUGAUGGUUGUUAUAUAGCAUCCAGUUUUGAAUAAAAAUGUUGAAAAAAGGUCCCAUUUAUUAUAAAGAUAAAAAAUGAAUGCCAAAGUAAACUGAAGCAGCAAGGGGAGUAAAAACUUUAGUGAUCAUAAAGAGACAAAUAUAUUUUUACCAGGAUCAAUAGGGUAGAGUCAAAUUGCUUGUAACAAAUAUGCACUAAACGUAUUAUUUUGAAUACUGAUUAUGUAUUGAUUUUGUUUUUAGAGUUCAUUCAGAUUGAUCAUCCUGUCACACCCCUCACAUCCCAUUUUUUCCCAAAGGGGAAUUCUAUUUUUCACUUGAACUGGUAAAUGGAGACCAAAACCUCAUUGGCUGUGCUAAUCUCACUGUACAAUAUGUAAUAUGAGCACAAUAAACAGAGCUUGUGAGA